RNAcentral lists this ribosomal RNA (329 nucleotides) under uncultured eukaryote. RNAcentral describes it as "partial 18S ribosomal RNA". It matches the Rfam family "Eukaryotic small subunit ribosomal RNA", at positions 1470 to 1796 of the family's 1831-position model. The record is from RNAcentral.
CCCUUAGAUGUCUUGGGCCGCACGCGCGCUACACUGAGUGUCUGAGAUACGAGUCUGCCUGGUCCGGCAAGGUCUAGGUAAUCGCUAAAAGACACAUCAUGCUUGGGAUAGAUUAUUGCAAAUAUUAAUCUUGAACGAGGAAUUCCUAGUAAGCGCAAGUCAACAGCUUGCGUUGAUUACGUCCCUGCCCUUUGUACACACCGCCCGUCGCUACUACUGAUUGGAUGUUUAAGCGAGGUUCUCGAACUGCUAGCGACUUAGCUUCGGUGAGGUCGCAGUGUGGGAAGUGAACCUAGCUUUGGUGUCUAGAGGAAGUAAAAGUCGUAACA